RNAcentral lists this ribosomal RNA (467 nucleotides) under uncultured bacterium. RNAcentral's name for it is "partial 16S ribosomal RNA". It matches the Rfam family "Bacterial small subunit ribosomal RNA", at positions 28 to 506 of the family's 1533-position model. The record is from RNAcentral.
GACGAACGCUGGCGGCGUGCUUAACACAUGCAAGUCGAACGGAAAGGCCCUGCUUUUGUGGGGUGCUCGAGUGGCGAACGGGUGAGUAACACGUGAGUAACCUGCCCUUGACUUUGGGAUAACUUCAGGAAACUGGGGCUAAUACCGGAUAGGAGCUCCUGCUGCAUGGUGGGGGUUGGAAAGUUUCGGCGGUUGGGGAUGGACUCGCGGCUUAUCAGCUUGUUGGUGGGGUAGUGGCUUACCAAGGCUUUGACGGGUAGCCGGCCUGAGAGGGUGACCGGCCACAUUGGGACUGGGGUACGGCCCAGACUCCUACGGGAGGCAGCGGUGGGGAAUAUUGCACAAUGGGCGGAAGCCUGAUGCAGCAACGCCGCGUGCGGGAUGACGGCCUUCGGGUUGUAAACCGCUUUCGCCUGUGACGAAGCGUGAGUGACGGUAAUGGGUAAAGAAGCACCGGCUAACUACGG